Panicum virgatum (switchgrass) is the source of this 710-nucleotide long non-coding RNA. RefSeq lists it as uncharacterized. The transcript is spliced from 4 exons. NCBI's taxonomy places the organism in Eukaryota, Viridiplantae, Streptophyta, Magnoliopsida, Poales, Poaceae. The record is from RefSeq and is a predicted model, not a curated record.
UAGUAUUCGGCUCCAGUCAGUGUGUUAGUUCGAAGUAUAUGAGUUGAUCGAUCAGUACCGUAAGAGAAGGGCUCUGGUGAGUGGUGAUGAGCUGCAAGAACAGGUCGUGCAUGUUGUUGACGACUAAAGCUAGGCUCAUAGCUGAGGAAGCAACAAAGCCAUCUAAGUAAGAAUGGAGGGCAUCAGGACAAAUCCUGAGAUUUGCGACCAAAGGGGUUUCUGGUCUUCCCUUGUAAAACCCUCUAGGGCUUUGGAACCAGCGGAAACAGAAUGCAAGGACUGAGCACAGAUUUGCUAGUACACAGGCUCGCAGCUCAAAGGGGACGAGAGUCAAUGGAUAGCUAGGGAAAUGGUGAAAACCAAAAUUAGGAAUGGAAGGCUCCAGGAGAACCUGCAUGCUAAAAGAACAAGCGCAUGUUUCCACGCGCUUCUCCUACCGUGCAGCGCGAUCGUGACAAGGUCAACUUCAUAUUCUCCGUGGAGCGAGAGAUUAUUGUCCUGCUAUUCGGUCAUGCGCUUUGAGGUUGCGUCAAACGAAGGAAAAGGGAGUGAUGCUUUUCAGUAGCUGGAGCAGGGAAUGUUACAGUGGUGGUGAUGUUGUACCCAUCCCUGCAAUAUCUUAUUUUGUUAACCUUCAAAUCAAAACUAUUUGUAUACUCUAUCUAUUCAUGCGUAUAUAAUGAUACAAAUCUAUUCGUGAGUUCGCACGA